ACACGUAGGAGGCGAACGUUAUCCGGAUUUACUGGGCGUAAAGCGCGUGUAGGUGGUUCUGUAAGUAGGGCGUGAAAGCUCCUGGCUCAACUGGGAGAGGCCGUUCUAAACUGCAGAGCUAGAGGAUGGUAGAGGGAGGUGGAAUUCCGGGUGGGGGUAGCGGUGGAAUGCGCAGAUAUCCGGAGGAACACCGGUGGCGAAGGCGGCCUCCUGGACCAUUCCUGACACUCAGACGCGAAAGCUAGGGUAGC
RNAcentral lists this ribosomal RNA (251 nucleotides) under uncultured bacterium. RNAcentral's name for it is "partial 16S ribosomal RNA". It matches the Rfam family "Bacterial small subunit ribosomal RNA", at positions 523 to 769 of the family's 1533-position model. The record is from RNAcentral.